UGGGGAAUAUUGGACAAUGGGCGCAAGCCUGAUCCAGCAAUGCCGCGUGUGUGAAGAAGGCCUUCGGGUUGUAAAGCACUUUUAUCAGGAGCGAAACGCUGUCGGCUAAUACCCGGCGGAACUGACGGUACCUGAGGAAUAAGCACCGGCUAACUUCGUGCCAGCAGCCGCGGUAAUACGAAGGGUGCAAGCGUUAAUCGGAAUUACUGGGCGUAAAGCGUGCGUAGGCGGUUUCUUAAGUCUGCUGUGAAAUCCCCGGGCUCAACCUGGGAAUGGCAGUGGAUACUGGGAGGCUAGAGUGUGUCAGAGGGUGGUGGAAUUCCCGGUGUAGCGGUGAAAUGCGUAGAGAUCGGGAGGAACAUCAGUGGCGAAGGCGGCCACCUGGGACAACACUGACGCCGAGGCACGAAAGCGUGGGGAGCAAACAGGAUUAGAUACCCUGGUAGUCCACGCCCUAAACGAUGCGAACUGGAUGUUGGUCUCAACUCGGAGAUCAGUGUCGAAGCUAACGCGUUAAGUUCGCCGCCUGGGGAGUACGGUCGCAAGACUGAAACUUAAAUGAAUUGACGGGGUCAUAGCUGUUUCC
This 586-nucleotide ribosomal RNA is filed under the name uncultured bacterium. Its description in RNAcentral is "partial 16S ribosomal RNA". It matches the Rfam family "Bacterial small subunit ribosomal RNA", at positions 355 to 937 of the family's 1533-position model. The record is from RNAcentral.